Molecule: ribosomal RNA, 407 nt
Filed under: uncultured bacterium
Lineage: Bacteria
Description: partial 16S ribosomal RNA
Rfam family: Bacterial small subunit ribosomal RNA
Source: RNAcentral
AUUGAACGCUGGCGGCAGGCCUAACACAUGCAAGUCGAGCGGAGCGGCGGACGGGCGGGUGAUUCCUAGGAAUCUGCCUGCUAGUUGGGGAUGGCGUCCGGAUACGGGCGCUAAUUCAUCCUACUAUCCGAUGAGCCUCGGUGGGAUGAGCGAGUUGGUGGGGUAAAGGCUUACCAAGGCGACGAUCCGUAGCUGGUCUGAGAGGAUGAUCAGCCACACUGGAACUGAGACACGGUCCAGACUCCUACGGGAGGCAGCAGUGGGGAAUAUUGGACAAUGGGCGAAAGCCUGAUCCAGCCAUGCCGCGUGUGUGAAGAAGGUCUUCGGAUUGUAAAGCACUUUAAGUUGGGAGGCGUUACCAACAGAAGAAGCACCGGCUAACUUCGUGCCAGCAGCCGCGGUAAUUC